AACGAACGUUGGCGGCGUGGAUUAGGCAUGCAAGUCGAACGAAUCCCCGGGAGCUUGCUCCCGGGGGGAAGUGGCGAAAGGGGCAGUAAGGCGUGGGUAACCUACCCCGGGGACCGGGAUAGCCGGCCCAACGGCCGGGUAAUACCGGGCGACGUAGCGGAGGGGCAUCUCUCUGCUACCAAAUGAAUUUCGCCCCGGGAGGGGCUCACGUGGUAUUAGCUUGUUGGUGGGGUAACGGCCCACCAAGGCGAAGAUGCCUAGCGGGUGUGAGAGCACGACCCGCGCCACUGGCACUGAGACACUGGCCAGACUCCUACGGGAGGCUGCAGUCGAGGAUCUUCGGCAAUGGGCGCAAGCCUGACCGAGCGACGCCGCGUGCGCGAUGAAGGCCUUCGGGUUGUAAAGCGCUGUCGAGGGGGAGGAAGCCGCAAGGUUGACCUAUCCCUGGAGGAAGCACGGGCUAAGUUCGUGCCAGCAGCCGCGGUAAAAC
This 490-nucleotide ribosomal RNA is filed under the name uncultured bacterium. RNAcentral's name for it is "bacterial SSU rRNA". It matches the Rfam family "Bacterial small subunit ribosomal RNA", at positions 28 to 526 of the family's 1533-position model. The record is from RNAcentral.